GAAUAUUGGACAAUGGGGGCAACCCUGAUCCAGCCAUGCCGCGUGUGUGAAGAAGGCUUUCGGGUUGUAAAGCACUUUCAGUGAGGAGGAAAACCGUACGAUUAAUACUCGUAUGGCUUGCCGUUACUCACAGAAGAAGCACCGGCUAACUCCGUGCCAGCAGCCGCGGUAAUACGGAGGGUGCAAGCGUUAAUCGGAAUUACUGGGCGUAAAGCGCGCGUAGGUGGUUUGAUAAGCGAGAUGUGAAAGCCCCGGGCUUAACCUGGGAACGGCAUUUCGAACUGUCAGGCUAGAGUAUGGUAGAGGAGUGUGGAAUUUCCUGUGUAGCGGUGAAAUGCGUAGAUAUAGGAAGGAACACCAGUGGCGAAGGCGGCACUCUGGACCAAUACUGACACUGAGGUGCGAAAGCGUGGGGAGCAAACAGG
Molecule: ribosomal RNA, 425 nt
Filed under: uncultured bacterium
Lineage: Bacteria
Description: bacterial SSU rRNA
Rfam family: Bacterial small subunit ribosomal RNA
Source: RNAcentral